GCAAUGGUGAGAUGCUCGGGUACUGCCCUCCGAAGGCAGGGGUUGCUGGUUCGAUCCCAGCCGGGUGCGCCA
This 72-nucleotide transfer RNA is filed under the name Burkholderia pseudomallei. RNAcentral describes it as "tRNA-Ser". Lineage: Bacteria; Pseudomonadati; Pseudomonadota; Betaproteobacteria; Burkholderiales; Burkholderiaceae. The record is from RNAcentral.